CUGACUGGUAUAUCUGCACAGCAAAAUCGUGUGGUGGGAGCUAUGCAGCUAUAUUCUGUAGAUAGGAAAGUGUCUCAGCCCAUUGAAGGACAUGCAGCUAGCUUUGCACAGUUUAAGAUGGAAGGAAAUGCAGAAGAAUCAACGUUAUUUUGUUUUGCAGUUCGGGGCCAAGCUGGAGGGAAGGUAAGUUUUGGCUUUGGUAAUUAUUUUAAUGAGAACUUGUAUUUGGCUUUCUGCUAUGAAUUAGUCAUCUAAUUUCAAAAUAGCCUUCUCCUUUCCUAAGUAAUUUUAGUAUUCACAUUUGUGGUGACUUAAUUUGUUCAAAUUUUGCAUGUAGUGAUACUUGUCUAAAAUGAAUAAUGUUCUUUCACAACUCGUUCUGUUGAUUGUUUAUAUUCUUUACUUUGAUUGCUAAAGUGCACAUUCAUAUGCUGUACAUCUAGAGAGUUUGAUUUAGUAGGUGGUGCCCAUAAUUUUUUUUG
RNAcentral lists this small RNA (482 nucleotides) under Pongo abelii (Sumatran orangutan). Its description in RNAcentral is "retained intron". Lineage: Eukaryota; Metazoa; Chordata; Mammalia; Primates; Hominidae. The record is from RNAcentral.